This 486-nucleotide ribosomal RNA is filed under the name uncultured bacterium. Its description in RNAcentral is "partial 16S ribosomal RNA". It matches the Rfam family "Bacterial small subunit ribosomal RNA", at positions 899 to 1397 of the family's 1533-position model. The record is from RNAcentral.
ACUCAAAUGAAUUGACGGGGGCCCGCACAAGCGGCGGAGCGUGUGGUUUAAUUCGAUGCUACACGAAGAACCUUACCCAGUCUUGACAUGCGCGUGGUAGGGAAGGGAAACCGGACCGACCCGCAAGGGAGCGCGCACAGGUGCUGCAUGGCUGUCGUCAGCUCGUGCCGUGAGGUGUUAGGUUAAGUCCUGUAACGAGCGCAACCCGCGUCGUCAGUUACACGUGUCUGACGAGACUGCCGGUUUCAAGCCGGAGGAAGGUGCGGACGACGUCAAGUCAGCAUGGCCUUGAUGACUGGGGCUACACACACGCUACAAUGGGCAGCACAAUGGGACGCCAAGGGGUGACCUGGAGCCAAUCCCGUAAAGCUGUUCCCAGUUCGGAUUGCAGGCUGCAACCCGCCUGCAUGAAGUCGGAGUCGCUAGUAACCGCGCGUCAGCCAUAGUGCGGUGAAUACGUUCCCGGGCCUUGUACACACCGCCCGU